GGUGGCUCAGUGGUAGAGUGCUUGUCUUGCAUGCAUGAGGCCCUGGGUUCAAUUCCUCAGCACCA
Dipodomys ordii (Ord's kangaroo rat) is the source of this 65-nucleotide non-coding RNA. The record is from Rfam. NCBI's taxonomy places the organism in Eukaryota, Metazoa, Chordata, Mammalia, Rodentia, Heteromyidae.